RNAcentral lists this ribosomal RNA (620 nucleotides) under Phialocephala sphaeroides. Its description in RNAcentral is "partial large subunit ribosomal RNA". It matches the Rfam family "Eukaryotic large subunit ribosomal RNA", at positions 25 to 664 of the family's 3401-position model. The record is from RNAcentral. Lineage: Eukaryota; Fungi; Ascomycota; Leotiomycetes; Helotiales; Mollisiaceae.
CCGCUUNGAAUUAAGCAUAUCAAUAAGCGGAGGAAAAGAAACCAACAGGGAUUACCUCAGUAACGGCGAGUGAAGCGGUAACAGCUCAAAUUUGAAAGCUGCCAACAGGCCGCGUUGUAAUUUGUAGAAGAUGCUUUGGGUGUUGGCCUAGUCUAAGUUCCUUGGAACAGGACGUCAUAGAGGGUGAGAAUCCCGUAUGUGAUUAGUGCCAUCCCCCGUGUAAAGCUCUUUCGACGAGUCGAGUUGUUUGGGAAUGCAGCUCAAAAUGGGUGGUAAAUUUCAUCUAAAGCUAAAUAUUGGCCAGAGACCGAUAGCGCACAAGUAGAGUGAUCGAAAGAUGAAAAGCACUUUGGAAAGAGAGUUAAACAGUACGUGAAAUUGUUGAAAGGGAAGCGCUUGCAAUCAGACUUGCAGGCGGUUGAUCAUCCGAGGUUCUCCCCGGUGCACUCGAUCGUCUUCAGGCCAGCAUCGGUUUCAGUGGUGGGAUAAAGGCUGUGAGAAUGUGGCUCUUCGGAGUGUUAUAGCUCACGGUGCAAUGCCGCCUACUGGGACCGAGGACCGCGCUUCGGCUAGGAUGCUGGCGUAAUGGUUGUAAGCGACCCGUCUGGAAAACCACGGAA